This 1227-nucleotide ribosomal RNA is filed under the name Triticum aestivum (bread wheat). RNAcentral describes it as "partial small subunit ribosomal RNA". Lineage: Eukaryota; Viridiplantae; Streptophyta; Magnoliopsida; Poales; Poaceae. The record is from RNAcentral.
AUGGGGCCGGCGCCGCGGGAGGUGGUGGUGAUCAGCAGCUCCGACGAGGAGGAGGAGGUGCUCUCCGGUAGGUCGGCUCGCUCGCCCGUCCCCCUGGGAUGGGCCGCGAAGCUCGGGGACUCGGCGGUGCCAGCACCGCGGAGGCAUAAAGGUAGGUCCCGUGCCGUUCGCGCCGGCAACGACGGCGACUGCGAGGGUGAUGACUGCGUAGUUCUGGACGGCGACCCGGAUAAGCCGGUUGCGGUUGCGGGUGCGAAGGGGAGGAGUAGGGGGGAUGGCCUGCCGGGCGAGGUGGAGAUCGUUGCGGUGAAAGGCGAGAUAGCAUGCAAGGACUUCCCUCACUUGCGCCAUUCAUGUUCCGAGUUGCCCUUCAGCACCACUUCUCACACAAAGCAUUGCAGCAUGUGCUACUGUUUUGUAUGUGAUGCUCCAGCUCCAUGCAAGUACUGGGGCAAAGGGCUCUUGAAUGAUGAUCAUUGCCAUGCCACUGACAAGGAAACAAAGUGGAAAAUACUGAGGCAGGCAUUUAAGUGCAAAAGUGUGCCAGCAUCUUAUCCGGAGGAACGCCUGAAUGUUGUGUACCAAACAACGCCAUCCCCAAGACAGCAGGAAUAUUACGAGGAAUACACACCAGAGGGGUACUCCGAGACGGACGAGGAGGCCACGGUGUGCAUUGGGAACCUACCGUAUGACAUUGACGAGAAGGACCUUGUCCUGCUCUUCAAGGAUGUCGGCAUUGUCGUGUUCUCUGAGAUCAUUUAUGACAGGGAAACAGGCGAGAGCCGUGGAUAUGGGUUUGUCACCAUGAGUACUGCUGAGGAGGCCAAGAAGGCUGUGGAGAUGUACAAUCGCCGUGAGAUGGACGGCAGGCCCCUGACUGUGUACAAGACAGCUGCUACCAGAGGUGCCCGGACAGAAGAAACACCGUCCCCCCAUCCCAGUCGACCAGUAUCUUCUUCGUUCAAGAUCUAUGUGGACAAUCUUCCCUGGAAAGUGAGCAACUCUAACCUAAAGCAGCUGUUCAGUGACUAUGGUGAAGUGGUCGGUGCUAAAGUUGUUUACCACCGCGGAAGAGAAGCCGGGCGCUCCCCGUUCGGUUUCGUCGCGAUGGCGACGCGGCAGGAAUCGGAGAAUGCCAUUUGGCACCUUAACAAGCAGGUUUGGUGGGGCCGCAAACUGCGAGUGCGAGUCGCAAGAGAGGAAGAGAGGAAGGUGAAAGUGGUCUAG